CGGGUGAGUAACGCGUGAGGAACCUGCCUCAAAGAGGGGGACAACAGUUGGAAACGACUGCUAAUACCGCAUAAGCCCACGGCUCGGCAUCGAGCAGAGGGGAAAGGAGCAAUCCGCUUUGAGAUGGCCUCGCGUCCGAUUAGCUAGUUGGUGAGGUAAUGGCCCACCAAGGCGACGAUCGGUAGCCGGACUGAGAGGUUGAACGGCCACAUUGGGACUGAGACACGGCCCAG
This 233-nucleotide ribosomal RNA is filed under the name uncultured bacterium. RNAcentral describes it as "partial 16S ribosomal RNA". It matches the Rfam family "Bacterial small subunit ribosomal RNA", at positions 103 to 334 of the family's 1533-position model. The record is from RNAcentral.